GUUCAAAGCCAAUGUUCUCUCUUUUACAAUACUAAAAGUAAAUGCACAAAGGUAGGGUAUCCUUCACCCAUAUAAAAGUAAUUCAAACUCAUUACAGAAAAAAAAUAUGUGUAUCCUUACUCCACUACCAAAAAAUUCUUACUACCAGUGUUUUCUGUUUUAGACUCAUUUGGGGGGAGUGGCAUAUGUCAUAAUAUGUUAUGAUGCCCCCUUGAGAACUUGUCCCACGAGUUAACUAGUGCAAAGAUUUCACUGUUGAGGACAAAUUUACUGAAUUAAAAUCUCCAAUGUCUCCUAGCGACAGAAAGGCAACUUUGACCAUUGAGAGUCAUCCCAAGUUUGAAGACAAUCAAAGAACUGCUGUGAAGCAAGGAGACAUGGGGGUGAUCACGAUUUCUGCUCAGUGCUGUGGAAUGAUGAGGUUGAAGAUGGAGGUCAUGGACCAGCCUGCAGCAGGUAGUCUCUGAAGUGGGACACCUGUAAUUGUCUGCUUGGCCAACCAAGCAGAAAGGGAAGCCUGCUAGAGUUCUCAAUGCCAUUGUGAUUAAAAGAGAUCACAGCCUA
This is a long non-coding RNA of Herpailurus yagouaroundi (jaguarundi), 564 nucleotides long. RefSeq lists it as uncharacterized. The transcript has 2 exons. Lineage: Eukaryota; Metazoa; Chordata; Mammalia; Carnivora; Felidae. The record is from RefSeq and is a predicted model, not a curated record.